RNAcentral lists this ribosomal RNA (780 nucleotides) under uncultured bacterium. RNAcentral's name for it is "bacterial SSU rRNA". It matches the Rfam family "Bacterial small subunit ribosomal RNA", at positions 8 to 796 of the family's 1533-position model. The record is from RNAcentral.
AGAGUUUGAUCCUGGCUCAGGAUGAACGCUAGCGGCAGGCCUAAUACAUGCAAGUCGAACGGUGCCUUCGGGUACAGUGGCAAACGGGUGCGUAACGCGUAAGCAACCUGCCCUCUACCGGGGGAUAGCCUGGCGAAAGCCGGGGUAAACCCGCAUGGUUCCAAGCAACCACCUGGUUUCUUGGGUAAACAUUAUAUGGGUAGGGGAGGGGCUUGCGUCUGAUUAGUUAGUUGGCGGGGUAAGGGCCCACCAAGACAGUGAUCAGUAGGGGUUCUGAGAGGAUUGGCCCCCACAUGGGUACUGAGAUACGGACCCAACUCCUACGGGAGGCAGCAGUAGGGAAUAUUGGGCAAUGGAGGCAACUCUGACCCAGCCAUGCCGCGUGCAGGAUGAAGGCGCUCAGCGUCGUAAACUGCUUUUAUCUACGAAGAACGGCAGGCCUGCGGGCUUGUGUGACGGUAGUAGAGGAAUAAGCACCGGCUAACUCCGUGCCAGCAGCCGCGGUAAUACGGAGGGUGCAAGCGUUGUCCGGAUUUAUUGGGUUUAAAGGGUGCGUAGGUGGCGUCUUAAGUCUGGUUUGAAAGCAGGCGGCUCAACCGUCUGAUGUGGCUGGAAACUGGGGUGCUUGAAUGCGUUGGCGGUAGCCGGAACGGGUCAUGUAGCGGUGAAAUGCAUAGAUAUGACCCAGAACACCGAUUGCGAAGGCAGGCUACUAGGACGUGAUUGACACUGAGGCACGAGAGCAUGGGUAGCGAACAGGAUUAGAUACCCCGGUAGUCC